Molecule: ribosomal RNA, 164 nt
Filed under: uncultured bacterium
Lineage: Bacteria
Description: partial 16S rRNA
Rfam family: Bacterial small subunit ribosomal RNA
Source: RNAcentral
UAGGGAAUCUUCCACAAUGGACGCAAGUCUGAUGGAGCAACGCCGCGUGAGUGAAGAAGGUUUUCGGAUCGUAAAGCUCUGUUGUUGGUGAAGAAGGAUAGAGGCAGUAACUGGUCUUUAUUUGACGGUAAUCAACCAGAAAGUCACGGCUAACUACGUCCCAG